Molecule: ribosomal RNA, 254 nt
Filed under: uncultured bacterium
Lineage: Bacteria
Description: partial 16S ribosomal RNA
Rfam family: Bacterial small subunit ribosomal RNA
Source: RNAcentral
UACGGGGGGAGCAAGCGUUGUUCGGAUUUACUGGGCGUAAAGGGCGCGUAGGCGGCCACCGCAAGUCAAUUGUGAAAUCUCCGGGCUUAACUCGGAAAGGUCAACUGAAACUGCGGGGCUAGAGUGCGGAAGGGGCAACUGGAAUUCCUGGUGUAGCGGUGAAAUGCGCAGAUAUCAGGAGGAACACCGAUGGCGAAGGCAGGUCUCUGGGCAUUAACUGACGCUGAGGAGCGAAAGCAUGGGGAGCGAACAGG